RNAcentral lists this ribosomal RNA (346 nucleotides) under uncultured eukaryote. RNAcentral's name for it is "SSU rRNA". It matches the Rfam family "Eukaryotic small subunit ribosomal RNA", at positions 594 to 945 of the family's 1831-position model. The record is from RNAcentral.
AUAGCGUAUAUUAAAGUUGUUGCAGUUAAAAAGCUCGUAGUUGAACUUCAGACCUGGUUGGGCGGUCAGCUUAACAGCGUGUACUGUCUGGCUGGGCCUUACCUCUUGGUGAGCCGGUGUGCCCUUUAUUGGGUGCGUUGGGGAACCAGGACUUUUACCUUGAGAAAAUUAGAGUGUUCAAAGCAGGCCUAUGCCCGAAUACAUUAGCAUGGAAUAAUAAAAUAGGACGUGUGGUUCUAUUUUGUUGGUUUCUAGAGUCGCCGUAAUGAUUAAUAGGGAUAGUUGGGGGCAUUAGUAUUCCGUUGCUAGAGGUGAAAUUCUUGGAUUUACGGAAGACUAACUUCUG